This 348-nucleotide long non-coding RNA is filed under the name Zonotrichia albicollis (white-throated sparrow). RNAcentral describes it as "lncRNA (ENSZALG00000002917.1)". The record is from RNAcentral. Lineage: Eukaryota; Metazoa; Chordata; Aves; Passeriformes; Passerellidae.
GCGAAAGGGAGCAGAGAGCUUGGAGAGAAACCUCUUGGAUUUGGUGCUAGAUGAUGGAUCAUUCCAUGGUCUCUGCUCAGAAGAAACUAUGUUCCUCUUGGGGCAGUAACAGAGAAGAGUCAUUCACCAGUGAGAGUUUCUCUGAGGAGGAGCAGGACUUUUCAGGAACCUGGAAAGAGAUGAUCAAGUUGGGACAGUUCAAGAUCCAAGGGAAUGUACAGUCCAGAAAACAGCUUCUGAAGCCUUGCUACUUUGACUACUGAAAUCUUAAGGUACCUAGAAGCCAAAGCAGUUGGAGAAAUGUUUGGUUAAACUUCAUCUCCCCUAAAAGAAAUCUGAGUCCCAAAA